GGGCGUUUUCUGGUGCGCUCUGAU
This 24-nucleotide non-coding RNA is filed under the name Arabidopsis thaliana (thale cress). Lineage: Eukaryota; Viridiplantae; Streptophyta; Magnoliopsida; Brassicales; Brassicaceae. The record is from RNAcentral.